GACGAACGCUGGCGGCGUGCUUAACACAUGCAAGUCGAACGGAAAGGCCCUGCUUUUGUGGGGUGCUCGAGUGGCGAACGGGUGAGUAACACGUGAGUAACCUGCCCUUGACUUUGGGAUAACUUCAGGAAACUGGGGCUAAUACCGGAUAGGAGCUCCUGCUGCAUGGUGGGGGUUGGAAAGUUUCGGCGGUUGGGGAUGGACUCGCGGCUUAUCAGCUUGUUGGUGGGGUAGUGGCUUACCAAGGCUUUGACGGGUAGCCGGCCUGAGAGGGUGACCGGCAACAUUGGGACUGAGAUACGGCCCAGACUCCUACGGGAGGCAGCGGUGGGGAAUAUUGCACAAUGGGCGGAAGCCUGAUGCAGCAACGCCGCGUGCGGGAUGACGGCCUUCGGGUUGUAAACCGCUUUCGCCUGUGACGAAGCGUGAGUGACGGUAAUGGGUAGAGAAGCACCGGCUAACUACGUG
Molecule: ribosomal RNA, 468 nt
Filed under: uncultured bacterium
Lineage: Bacteria
Description: partial 16S ribosomal RNA
Rfam family: Bacterial small subunit ribosomal RNA
Source: RNAcentral